Molecule: long non-coding RNA, 1118 nt
Organism: Mya arenaria
Lineage: Eukaryota; Metazoa; Mollusca; Bivalvia; Myida; Myidae
Exons: 3
Source: RefSeq, a predicted model, not a curated record
UCACAGGCAUCAGGAGCAUUGAGUUCCUAAAAUACCUCGGCCAGUGUCAAACAGGAAUUGGCCUCGGAAAAAAUACGGUCCAUCAUGGCCUACCAAGGAGAUUUUCAAACUCCCAAGCGAUAUGUUAGACCAAAGACAGGAUGAGGGGAGAACUAUUACCACCUAUUUGUGUUAUGGUACCAGUGGUGUGACCGGCUCUAAAUUCCUGGCUUGUUCUGAUGAAAAAUGGCAGAAGGGGCACUGGAAUGUAAUCAAAUCUGCCAUUGUACUGAGGAUUGACCUGCAAUACAUGGAAAACAUGUAACAUAACUGCAAAGCCAACCUGGAAGGGAAAAUAAGUACAAGAUGGAAACAAAGUGGAACAACAUGUUCAGUGGAACAACUUGAUAUUUGAUGACUUAGAUAUUUGAUGACUUACAUACUGAUGUGAAGUUGCAGAUAAAAGUCAAGUGUUGGCCAGUAAAUUAUACAAAAAAUCAUUAAACCCUCGAUGCCUGAAUCAAUACAAUCUGAAGCUGGACAUUUACUUUACAACCUAGAUAGAGCCAGACUCCUUAAUUAUGCUUGGAAGUGCUACUCAGUGGUAACCCUCUUGCAGUCAACUUUUAAAUAGUUAAAUAUAUUUUUCAGAGUAUUUGAGUAAACUUUACAUUUAAUCCGGACACAUAUUUCUUCACUGUGGAUCAUUUUAACAAUGGAAAGUGCAUAUUUAUAUAUAUUCAUGCAACUGUGUGGUAAAGGAUUCAUCUACCCUUAAAAUGGUUUUCAUAAGGAGAGAAGAUAACAGAAACAGAUGGAAUUGGCAGACCAAAUAAAGAAAAACAAUUUUGUUUAGUUCAAUUUAAAAUACUUAAGUCCUAAUAGGGCACAUGCCAUAUUGUAAUUUGGGCUCUUUAAAAUGUGAAAAGGUGAAUGUGGUCUAGAGGAUAAGUCUAGGUGUCAGCCUCAAAUCCAAGGUUGUGGGUUGACGGUUCAAGCCCCACCGAGAUACUUUCUGAUGGCCUCAGAAAAAGGAUGUCUGUACUAGUUUCUACUAAGGCUACAGACUUGAGAGUGAUUAUGCAAGCUUUCAACUUGUGUAGCAAUCUAGCUGAAAUGAUUAGGUUUAAAAUAAGAUA